AGUUCUGGCAAACCUUCGGUACAACAGUGGAAACGGCUGCUAAUCCCGUAUGUGCCUGUGGGUGAAAGAUUAAUCCCCUUUUGAUGAGCUCGCGUCUUAUUAGCUAGUUGGCGUGGUAAGAGCGCCCCAAGGCGGCGAUCAGUAGCUGGUCUGCGAGGAUGCCCAGCCCCACUGGGACUGAGACAGGGCCCAGACUCCUCCGGGAGGCAGCAGUGGGGACUUUUCCGCAAUGGGCGAAAGCCUGACGGAGCAAUACCGCGUUAGGGAGGAAGGCUUUUGGGUUGUAAACCUCUUUUUUCAGGGAAUAAGAAAGUGAAGGUACCUGAGGAAUCAGCAUCGCCUAACUCCGCCCCAGCAGCCGCGGUAAUAAGGAGGAUGCAAUCGUUAUCCGGAAUGAUUGGGCGUAAAGCGUCGGCAGGUGGUUGUCAAGUCUGCUGUCAAAGAGUCUGGCUCAACCAAAUAAAGGGAGGGAAACUGAGAGACUAGAGUGCGGUAGGGGCAGAGGGAAUUCCUGGGUAGCGGUGAAAUGCGUGGAGAUCAGGAAGACCACCGGUGGGAAAGCGCUCUGGUGGCCCGCAACUGACACUGAGGGACGAAAGCUAGGGGAGCGAAAGGGAUUAGAUACCCCUGUAGUC
RNAcentral lists this ribosomal RNA (635 nucleotides) under uncultured Stigonematales cyanobacterium. RNAcentral describes it as "bacterial SSU rRNA". It matches the Rfam family "Bacterial small subunit ribosomal RNA", at positions 120 to 795 of the family's 1533-position model. The record is from RNAcentral. Lineage: Bacteria; Bacillati; Cyanobacteriota; Cyanophyceae; Nostocales; Stigonemataceae.